This 407-nucleotide ribosomal RNA is filed under the name uncultured bacterium. RNAcentral describes it as "partial 16S ribosomal RNA". It matches the Rfam family "Bacterial small subunit ribosomal RNA", at positions 30 to 526 of the family's 1533-position model. The record is from RNAcentral.
AUUGCACGCUGGCGGCAGGCCUAACACAUGCAAGUCGAGCGGAGCGGCGGACGGGAGAGUAAUGCCUAGGAAUCUGCCUGGUAGUGGGGGAUAACGUCCGGAAACGGGCGAUAAUACCGCAUACUAUCAGAUGAGCCUAGGUCGGUUAAGCUAGUUGGUGGGGUAAAGGCCUACCAAGGCGACGAUCCGUAACUGGUCUGAGAGGAUGAUCAGGCACACGGGAAUGGAGACAGGUUCCAGACUCCUACGGUAGGCAGCAUGGGGGAAUAUUGGACAAGGGGCGAAAGCCUGAUCCAGCCAUGCCGUGUGUGUGAAGAAGGUCUUCGGAUUGUAAAGCACUUUAAGUUGGGAGGCGUUACCAACAGAAUAAGCACCGGCUAACUUCGUGCCAGCAGCCGCGGUAAUAC